Long non-coding RNA from Mastomys coucha (southern multimammate mouse), 322 nucleotides. RefSeq lists it as uncharacterized. The transcript has 3 exons. NCBI's taxonomy places the organism in Eukaryota, Metazoa, Chordata, Mammalia, Rodentia, Muridae. The record is from RefSeq and is a predicted model, not a curated record.
CUCGGCAUCAGGACUCAGCUUGCACUGGAGGCCCAGAGUCAGCAAGGGGAAGGAAAUGAGCACUGCACGUUUAGACUAAGAGCACACUCACCAUCCGAGAUACAUCUUGAUGUACUUCUGCCCACAGAGAUACUCAAAAUGCAACACCCCUGUCUCUCCUUCUACACACUUCUAUGUAUACAUAUUGUAUGAUCAAUGUAUGGUUCCCAUACACCAUCAUAAUUUUUAAGGAAGAAGGCUGAGGCUGGUCCAUGAACAUUUUCAGGCCCCCAGACCUUAGCACAACAGACGCCAUGAUGCAAACCCAGCCUUGAAAGCCAGC